This is a long non-coding RNA of Notothenia coriiceps (black rockcod), 881 nucleotides long. RefSeq lists it as uncharacterized. The transcript has 3 exons. The record is from RefSeq and is a predicted model, not a curated record. Lineage: Eukaryota; Metazoa; Chordata; Actinopteri; Perciformes; Nototheniidae.
GCGGGUGUAUAUAAAUGUGCAGCUGCAGAACUCUGAUCAUUGCCAGUUGAAGCAAGCCGCACAUCAGAGAUGGAGAGCCUUAUAACAAAAAUCGCCACUGAGAAGCUGAGCACCUACGCUGCGGUCAUAUCUAUCUUCACCUUCACUAUUUUGCUCGACAGGGAUUUUGCCUGCACCUGCAAACCACAAGUACUGAACUGCAACCUGUACAUUGGUCUGCCACCCUUUAUCAUUUUUUUAUUAAUGCUGUUGUUGGACAGUUCGUUCCAAAGCAUCUGUAGAUACUAUUCCUCUCAUUGUAAAUGCCUCUGCGGUCUUUGCUGUUUUUAUGUCAAUCAUUUUUUAAGGGCAUUAUUAGUCGGCUCGCUGUGGGUUGCUUUUUUGUACCUCGAUGGAGACUGGUAUGUUUGCUGUCAGAAUGACGGCUCUGAAGAACAGGCAAAGUUAGCCUGCAAAGCUGAGAAAGAUAUCACGGUCAACGAGAAAGCUCUUAAAGCUGAACUGAAGAACACUUCCCGGGCUAUCGGUGGCUGGAUUCUAUUUGGAAUUAUUUUAGUGGCUUUCGUCUUACCAUUGUGUGUCAGAUCAAAAUGCUGGGGGAAAAAAAAACAUUCUGCCAACAAAAGAUUUCUGUAUGACAAACUAAUUAUAAUAGAGGAGGGCAAUGUGCUGAGAGAGGUUCUGAGGAAUUCAGCAAAGGAGAAGUUGACCGAAGGAAUCAAGAGCAAAAUCCGUGAAAAACGAAGGGAAGAGUGUUUCGAUGUUGCCAGAGAGCUGAUUGAAAAAGACCCGUGAAAAGAGGAGCACCAACCGCUAGGGGAACAAGAAACAGAGACAUAGGCCCAGAUACACCGGCCAGUCAGCUGAGAAGUCGCCGACGC